This 269-nucleotide long non-coding RNA is filed under the name Pan troglodytes (chimpanzee). RNAcentral describes it as "long non-coding RNA NONPTRT003350". The record is from RNAcentral. Lineage: Eukaryota; Metazoa; Chordata; Mammalia; Primates; Hominidae.
CUUGAUUAUAUUACAGCAUGAUGACAGUGGUUUUAUAACAUUGCUUACAACAAUCGUAAGAUUAUUGAUCAUGCACAGCGAUACUAACUUUAGCAAGGAUACAGCUGGGAUCCUAAACUUGGCAAUCAGAGCCCAGAGCCGAUAAAGUUAGCUGCAUGAGUCUAGCUUCCCCCGGGGCGGGAAUCGAGGCGGAGCAGGGUACAGUACGGAGGCCAGGGAUGAGUGCAGUUGACCAGAUUGUUGACGGAAGUGUCAUAAAAGUGGACUUA